UGUGUAGGCGGGUCGUUAAGUACCUUGUGAAAUCCCACGGCUCACCCGUGGAACUGCUGGGUAUACUGGCGAUCUUGGGCCAUUUAGGGGCAACUGGAACAAGCGGUGGAGCGGUGAAAUGCGUAGAUAUCGCUUGGAACGCCAAAGGUGAAAACAGGUUGCUGGGAAUGUGCCGACGCUGAGACACGAAAGCCGAGGGGAAGGCAAACG
RNAcentral lists this ribosomal RNA (210 nucleotides) under uncultured bacterium. RNAcentral describes it as "partial 16S ribosomal RNA". It matches the Rfam family "Bacterial small subunit ribosomal RNA", at positions 568 to 774 of the family's 1533-position model. The record is from RNAcentral.